RNAcentral lists this ribosomal RNA (253 nucleotides) under uncultured bacterium. RNAcentral's name for it is "partial 16S ribosomal RNA". It matches the Rfam family "Bacterial small subunit ribosomal RNA", at positions 524 to 776 of the family's 1533-position model. The record is from RNAcentral.
UACAGAGGUCUCAAGCGUUGUUCGGAUUCAUUGGGCGUAAAGGGUGCGUAGGCGGCGGGGCAAGUCAGGUGUGAAAUCCCAGAGCUCAACUUUGGAACUGCACUUGAUACUGCCCUGCUUGAGCACUGGAGAGGAGACUGGAAUUUACGGUGUAGCAGUGAAAUGCGUAGAUAUCGUAAGGAAGACCAGUGGCGAAGGCGAGUCUCUGGACAGUUGCUGACGCUGAGGCACGAAGGCCAGGGGAGCAAACGGG